Molecule: ribosomal RNA, 813 nt
Filed under: Thenea levis
Lineage: Eukaryota; Metazoa; Porifera; Demospongiae; Tetractinellida; Theneidae
Description: eukaryotic LSU rRNA
Rfam family: Eukaryotic large subunit ribosomal RNA
Source: RNAcentral
AUCAAUAAGCGGAGGAAAAGCAACUAACUAGGAUUCCCCCAGUAACGGCGAGCGAAGCGGGAAUAGCUCGAGCAGGCAAUCUCUGGUGUUGAUCGCCAGCGAAUUGUGGCCGGAAGAGGCGGCUGCACCUGAGGCGACUCCGUCGAAGUUGACCUGGAAAGGCACGUCGGAGAGGGUGAUAGCCCCGUGCGGGGCGGAGUCGCCGAGGGCCGCUACCGUCUUCGGAGAGUCGGGUUGUUUGGGAAUGCAGCCCAAAGUGGGUGGUAAACUCCAUCUAAAGCCAAAUAGCGGCACGAGACCGAUAGCGAACAAGUACCAUGAGGGAAAGGUGAAAAGCACUUUGGAAAGAGAGUUAAAGAGGCCGCGAAACCGUUGGGAGGGAAACGCAUGCAGCCGAACGGGCCCGCGCCGGGUUCACGGGGUCGCGGUGUGUGUCUGUGCGUCGGUGGCACCCUUCGGGGUCGCCUUCGUGUCAGGCCGCUCCGCACCCCUGCACUCCCGGCGGCAGUGGCCGGCCAAGUGCGGUGGGUUUCCAGGCGAGGAGCACGCGUCGGGCAGGUGGCGCAGCUGUGCCUUUCGGGGCACGGAGGCGAGCUUACAGCCGGCCGUGCGGAGCGCCAGGGCCCCACCGAGGAGAGCGGUGGCAUUUUCCACCCCAGCAGUGCAGGCCCGUCAAGGGCCGGGGCGCUCCUGUCCGUUCCACCGUCGCGCCGCGUCACUGCGUGCAGUGUCAGGUGUCGGCGUGUGAGUCCGGGCGGGAGGCCGUCCACGACUUGCGCUGUGGUCGCUUGGCUAGCCGUCGGCUGCAUUCGA